UAGGGAAUCUUCCGCAAUGGGCGAAAGCCUGACGGAGCAACGCCGCGUGAGUGAUGAAGGUCUUAGGAUCGUAACACUCUGUUAUUAGGGAAGAACAAACGUGUAAGUAACUGUGCACGUCUUGACGGUACCUAAUCAGAAAGCCACGGCUAACUACGUGCCAGCAGCCGCGGUAAUACGUAGGUGGCAAGCGUUAUCCGGAAUUAUUGGGCGUAAAGCGCGCGUAGGCGGUUUUUUAAGUCUGAUGUGAAAGCCCACGGCUCAACCGUGGAGGGUCAUUGGAAACUGGAAAACUUGAGUGCAGAAGAGGAAAGUGGAAUUCCAUGUGUAGCGGUGAAAUGCGCAGAGAUAUGGAGGAACACCAGUGGCGAAGGCGACUUUCUGGUCUGUAACUGACGCUGAUGUGCGAAAGCGUGGGGAUCAAACA
RNAcentral lists this ribosomal RNA (427 nucleotides) under uncultured bacterium. RNAcentral describes it as "partial 16S ribosomal RNA". It matches the Rfam family "Bacterial small subunit ribosomal RNA", at positions 355 to 774 of the family's 1533-position model. The record is from RNAcentral.